Molecule: long non-coding RNA, 2005 nt
Filed under: Nicotiana tabacum (common tobacco)
Lineage: Eukaryota; Viridiplantae; Streptophyta; Magnoliopsida; Solanales; Solanaceae
Description: long non-coding RNA (NTAB_LNC001026)
Source: RNAcentral
CAACUGUAAGGACAGUCGGACUAGCUAAAAUCUGGUCGCGCACUGAAUCAAGGUCAUUAGGAAGUCCAACGAGUGUAAGAACGAGAAACAUCUUUUGUCGUUGCUCUUGUUGCUUUUCAACACUAGUAGAAACUGGCAUCAACUUCUCCAAUUCCUCCAUGACUGCCUAUACUUGUCCCAAGUAAGUCGACUUAUCCAAUUCCUGUUUCUUCAAAUUCGUCAUCCGCGAUAUCACAUCGUAGAAACGAGAUAUGUCAUUAGUGUAUAAAGUACGAGCCUUUUCCCAACUAAAUGACAUGCCUGGAAUGGAUGAAACAAAGACAUCAAUUUGGAAUCAAUAGAUCGCCACAAGAUACUAUGAAGCAUGCUUAAAGACAUUUUUUAUAUGUCACUUGAUUUUAUUAAUGCUGUGGGCGGCCAGCAUCCUUAUAAAAAAAAAUGGACUGCAGUGCUGGAGAAAGUCAUGGAAGCCGAAGAUUUUGCAGAUUCUAGCACCGACACGGAUUCAGAUAAUUCAAAUGCUGAUGUAGAUGACCAUAUGAGGUAUGCUAUUUACUCAAUCACCACCUUAACACUAAAUCUUACAGUCAUUUGGUUGCAUAUUUUUAGGAGUUAAUCCCAUUUUUUUGUCAAUUAUAUUUUCGGGUAAUCAAAUCAUUUAAGAGUUACUUUUUUCAGUUCAUUUUAGUCAAUUCACCAGCUUGAUGUGUGACAAAAUAUCGAUAGUUCGGAACGCGUGGAAGAGUACGUGAGACUGUCCCGGUUGAGGGUGCGGUGCAUUGCAACAUCCUUGUUACCCUAUUGCAAAACCCUAAUGAGGCUUGCAAAUGCUGAAUGAUAAUCGUUGUAGCUUACCAAAAUCUCUUUUGUGUUCCUUUAUGUGUUCCUACCAAGGCAAAACACAGUGUUAGCAUCAGGCUCCAAUGACCUAGAGCCCGCUUCGAUAUCCAAACUAGUAAUGCUCGUAGACAGCUGAAGCUACAGGAAAAGUAUAAAAUAGUAUUAAAAGUGUACACGAGUAAGCUCAUAUAGCCUAGAAAUGAUGUGCUGAUAUAUCCUGUGGUAGAUAUAAUCUACACACACAUUAAAAAAAAAAAGAAAAGGAAAAGGCAAUGUAGAGGCUUUACAUAAGUUGCUCCAGUUGGUACCUCUUGGACAAGCGAGGAGGGAGUCUUCUUCCCAGAUGAAUAAACCGUGUCAAUACCAAGCCUCACUGGUAUGUUUAAACACUGAUACUUUGUCCUAGAUGGCUCGUCGUGGGAUGAAUGCUCAAUCUUAGGUGUGUUACUCGACCAUGUAACUCUUGAUAUCUGAUCCUCGUUCAUCACCCUAGCUCCCUUGAUUCCCUAGCUAGGAUGAAUCUGAUCUAUUGGGCUCAUAUACCAGCCUCAAUGCCAAUAUUUAAGGAUUGUGUGAGUUGUGACUUCUGUUUACUCAACUCCUGUACAUGAAGCGUCAAAAGAUCCAACACAAUUUACGUGGCAUUAUGUGUUUAUAGUCACUUUUACUCUUGUGGCUUUACUUAAAAUCAUCGCGGAGAAAUUAUUUAUGCAUAUAGUAUUUCCAUUGUAUCUAGUUGUGUUAAUGAUGCUCAGUUACAACUUACAUGCAUUAAUAUUUGGCCUCCAAUGUAUGUCUAGAUAAUGGGAUCACUGAUUUACUGAUGGAAUCAGAUUCACUUUUGGUGAUAAAUAUGGUAACAUGGAAAGAGCCAGGUUUCAUGGAGAUGAAAGCAUAAUGUGCAAGCCAUUCAAGAGAUGAUGGAGCUGAUUAAUGCACACUUACAUCAUACUUUUUGAGAGCAGUGGCAGAGCCAGAAUUUUUGUUGAGGUGUGUCAAAAUAUAUAAAAGUAAACAUAUCAGGAAAUUAAGGGGAGUCAAUAUAUAGUAUAUUUACAUAUAAUUUAUUUUUUUACCUAGCUACACAGUGUAUUUUUCCCGCGAAGGGGUAUCCCCUUCCUAUAAGGUGGCUCCGCCACUGUUUGAGAGGGAAACCUAAUUGCUG